This 448-nucleotide ribosomal RNA is filed under the name Burkholderia sp. P438. RNAcentral's name for it is "bacterial SSU rRNA". It matches the Rfam family "Bacterial small subunit ribosomal RNA", at positions 1 to 451 of the family's 1533-position model. Lineage: Bacteria; Pseudomonadati; Pseudomonadota; Betaproteobacteria; Burkholderiales; Burkholderiaceae. The record is from RNAcentral.
UAGAGUUUGAUCUUGGUUCAGAUUGAACGCUGGCGGCAUGCCUUACACAUGCAAGUCGAACGGCAGCAUGAUCUAGCUUGCUAGAUUGAUGGCGAGUGGCGAACGGGUGAGUAAUACAUCGGAACGUGCCCUGUAGUGGGGGAUAACUAGUCGAAAGAUUAGCUAAUACCGCAUACGACCUGAGGGUGAAAGUGGGGGACCGCAAGGCCUCAUGCUAUAGGAGCGGCCGAUGUCUGAUUAGCUAGUUGGUGGGGUAAAGGCCCACCAAGGCGACGAUCAGUAGCUGGUCUGAGAGGACGAUCAGCCACACUGGGACUGAGACACGGCCCAGACUCCUACGGGAGGCAGCAGUGGGGAAUUUUGGACAAUGGGGGCAACCCUGAUCCAGCAAUGCCGCGUGUGUGAAGAAGGCCUUCGGGUUGUAAAGCACUUUUGUCCGGAAAGAAAU